This 200-nucleotide ribosomal RNA is filed under the name uncultured bacterium. Its description in RNAcentral is "partial 16S ribosomal RNA". It matches the Rfam family "Bacterial small subunit ribosomal RNA", at positions 1301 to 1500 of the family's 1533-position model. The record is from RNAcentral.
CAGGCUGCAACUCGCCUGCAUGAAGCUGGAAUUGCUAGUAAUCGCGGAUCAGCAUGCCGCGGUGAAUACGUUCCCGGGCCUUGUACACACCGCCCGUCACACCAUGAGAGUCGGGAACACCCGAAGUCCGUAGUCUAACCGCAAGGAGGGCGCGGCCGAAGGUGGGUCCGGUAAUUGGGGUGAAGUCGUAACAAGGUAGC